UAGCCACUGAGGACGGAACGGGCGACCGUCACCACGCGUUUAAGCGGCGGAGAUGUGGGAAAUGCCACCCCACCUUGGUUA
RNAcentral lists this non-coding RNA (81 nucleotides) under unclassified sequences. Its description in RNAcentral is "skipping-rope RNA". It matches the Rfam family "skipping-rope RNA". Rfam says of the family: Firmicutes, Fusobacteria, AlphaProteobacteria, Spirochaetes. The record is from Rfam by way of RNAcentral.